GGCGCGCGCGCUCACCCGCCUGCUGCUCGCCGGCUACCUGCGCCUGCGCACGCCGCUCUACUACCGCUACUGCGCGCUACUCGCGGACGAUGACCACGACGUGCGCGAGCCGGCCGAGUACUACGUGUCGUGCUGCCUCACUGUCGACGCCAUCUACCACCACUUCGUCGACUGCGUGCUACAUUACAACAACGAGGACACCGAACCCAUGUCGUUCGAUGCGCGGCAGUUGAUCUACGACGUGAUGCUGCAGCGGCUGUCGUUGGUGCAGAAGCUGAACGUACAGUGUCGCCUGGCGCGGGAGGUGCUGGAGCACGCGGCCAGCCUGUGCGACGAGCAGGACGAGCUGCCCGCCGCGCUGCACGCCGCGCUGCUCGACACCAUCACGCUGCUGUGCGGGCCCCGCAUGAAGCUGCCCA
This 419-nucleotide unclassified non-coding RNA is filed under the name Melitaea cinxia (Glanville fritillary). RNAcentral describes it as "misc RNA ENSMCXG00005000025.1". Lineage: Eukaryota; Metazoa; Arthropoda; Insecta; Lepidoptera; Nymphalidae. The record is from RNAcentral.